Molecule: ribosomal RNA, 253 nt
Filed under: uncultured bacterium
Lineage: Bacteria
Description: partial 16S ribosomal RNA
Rfam family: Bacterial small subunit ribosomal RNA
Source: RNAcentral
UACGAAGGGGGCAAGCGUUGUUCGGAAUUAUUGGGCGUAAAGGGAGCGUAGGCGGUUCGGCAAGUCUUUAGUGAAAUCUCUGGGCUCAACUCAGAGUCUGCUGGAGAAACUGCCGGGCUGGAGUAUGGGAGAGGUGAGUGGAAUUCCCAGUGUAGAGGUGAAAUUCGUAGAUAUUGGGAAGAACACCGGUGGCGAAGGCGGCUCACUGGCUCGUAACUGACGCUCAUGCACGACAGCGUGGGGAUCAAACAGG